Long non-coding RNA from Beta vulgaris subsp. vulgaris (sugar beet), 921 nucleotides. RefSeq lists it as uncharacterized. NCBI's taxonomy places the organism in Eukaryota, Viridiplantae, Streptophyta, Magnoliopsida, Caryophyllales, Amaranthaceae. The record is from RefSeq and is a predicted model, not a curated record. The transcript is spliced from 4 exons.
AUAUAUUUUGCUGUAUUUAACUUUUUUUUGCCGUAUAAAACACACCCCAAAAAAAGAAUAAUAAUAACUAUAAUAUUAAAAUAAGAAAAAUAAAAGUUUCAAGAAAACAGGAAAUUAGAAAAAAGGAAACAAAACCCCCAACUCAUACCUAAUUACUGCUGCUACAUUAUACACUUCGUACUUCGGCACCCACGAAGUCAAAACAAAAGAAAAAAAAAACUCCUUGUUCAUCUUCUUCUUCAAUUCAUCAUUCUAUUUACUUGAUUCAACACCCUAAAUUCAUAAAUUUUGUUCAACUUUCAUCACAAUUCAACCUUCCUUCAUCUACCUUUGAAAUUACUUGAGUUUGUGGGUAAUUCAAAGAGGGUUCAUUCGGCUUUUCUAUUGAAUAUUUUGGGGUGAAAAUCGGAUCAAAAGGGCAAUUUUUUGGGUCUAUUUCUUGAGUAACUUUAUCUCCCUAUUAAAGCAGUAAUAGAUGAAAGAGGUGACCAUAUUUAUAUAGGUACGACAGGUGGAGGCUGGCAUUUCUUUUAAUCUUUGAAGUGGUAUACUGGCUAUUGCUUGCUUCCUACAUCUAAAAUAUGUUACAGUGGUCUUCAAAUGCAAGGUUUCAUUGCCCUUGAUCACUUGGAAUUAUGUUGAGAAAGCAUACUUAAUCAUUUUUUUAUUGUUGUUUUUUAUCUUGAACGAUUCCUGUAUUAUCACUUAGUCUUGAUUAGUAUUUUAUUUUUGUUUUUGAUAGGGAGAUGUAUCAUAUUUUGAUGUAAAUGUAUAAUGUACUAGAGAAAAUGAAAUACAACUUGUAGUAUUGUGUUUGUACUACAAGUAAUUCGUAUGCUAAAAUAAUUUUUUAGCUUUAUUUAUUUUGAAUUUCUUUUUGUAAAGGAGGGAAGAUUAUAAUUAUAUUUUGAAUUAAAUUUA